GACGAACGCUGGCGGCGUGCUUAACACAUGCAAGUCGAACGCUGAACCCGCUUCGGUGGGGGAUGAGUGGCGAACGGGUGAGUAACACGUGGGCAACCUGCCCCCGGCUCUGGGAUAACUCCAAGAAAUUGGGGCUAAUACCGGAUGUGACCGCUGGCCGCAUGGUCUGGUGGUGGAAAGGGUUUCCGGCUGGGGAUGGGCCCGCGGCCUAUCAGCUAGUUGGUGGGGUAAAGGCCUACCAAGGCGACGAUCCGUAACUGGUCUGAGAGGAUGAUCAGUCACACUGGAACUGAGACACGGUCCAGACUCCUACGGGAGGCAGCAGUGGGGAAUAUUGGACAAUGGGCGAAAGCCUGAUCCAGCCAUGCCGCGUGUGUGAAGAAGGUCUUCGGAUUGUAAAGCACUUUAAGUUGGGAGGAAGGGCAGUAAGUUAAUACCUUGCUGUUUUGACGUUACCAACAGAAUAAGCACCGGCUAACUACGUG
Molecule: ribosomal RNA, 485 nt
Filed under: uncultured bacterium
Lineage: Bacteria
Description: partial 16S ribosomal RNA
Rfam family: Bacterial small subunit ribosomal RNA
Source: RNAcentral